This 21-nucleotide microRNA is filed under the name Aegilops tauschii. RNAcentral's name for it is "ata-miR167f-3p". Its record names the gene ata-miR167f-3p. Lineage: Eukaryota; Viridiplantae; Streptophyta; Magnoliopsida; Poales; Poaceae. The record is from miRBase by way of RNAcentral.
CAGAUCAUGCUGCAGCUUCAU